Molecule: small RNA, 424 nt
Filed under: Pongo abelii (Sumatran orangutan)
Lineage: Eukaryota; Metazoa; Chordata; Mammalia; Primates; Hominidae
Description: processed transcript
Source: RNAcentral
AGGUUUGAUGAACGCGGUUCCCGGGGAGACCGUAUGAUUUUUCAAAUUUUUAUCAGUCUAAAUAUAAGAGAAGAACUCUAACCUCCCCAGGUGAUUUGGAGAUCUACUCUGGAGAUAAAAUUGGUUCAUCGUUAAAAUACUCUGAUGAAAGCAAGCAUUGUAGAACACCAUUGGGCAGCUUAUUCAAGCACGUAAAUGUGAAUUGAAACAGGAAACAGAAGAGUUAAUUGAAAAUGAUUAUAGAAUUAGUACCUCCAAAAUAACCAAGCAGUCUUUUAAAGAAAUAGAAAAAGUUGCCUUGCCAACUAAUAAGACCUCAUCGAGACCUCGGACUGAGUUUUGUAGUGAUGCAGGUGACUCUCCUUUGAAACCUGUCAGCUAUCCAAAAUCUAAAGCAUCAGACAAGCGGAGUUUACUUCCACAU